UUCGCCACCUGAAAGAAAAUAGUAUUUUUAUUUCACGAUUUAAAAGGACCAAGGGAAUGUACGGAGAAUGUACAAAAAUCUCCAGCAUUUUAAACAAGCCUAAAAUAUAAUAGAAGAUGUCGUGCAGGCGUAUAGAUCGAAGUAAGUUUGGAGAGGUACCGAGGACCACUACCACAAACAGUAGACUAAGUCAAAGUGGAAAAAGUACAAACUUCACGAGACACGACUGGCAGAAUGGGCGAUAUAUCUUGCUACACCAAGGAAGAAAAUCAUCAUUCUUACAAUAAUUAACUUGUUAUUAGCCUAAAUGUAAAGAAAAUCACUUAAAAACACAAUGAAAAGUAAAAAACCCUUACAAGUCAAAAGAAGCACUCCUGUUAUCAGUGUAAGAAGUAUCAAUAGGACAAAACGAACUUUGGUGAACAUGUCCAUGUUCGAGUGUAGCUGCUGUACACUGUUGGAAGUGGUAUUGAUACAGAAAGACCUUAUCUACAAAUGAAAACUUGUCUGUUCCGAGGAAGUUUAAAUCUAAUUUUCCUUGUAUGUAUUUAUGAUAUCAACUAUAGCACCCCUGUUGAAAACUAGUGCACAUUGUCAAAAGAAACAGCUACAAUAACAGUCCUCAUGCUCCUUCACUGUCUACGAAACGAUCGCCCUUUCCGAUCGGAAGAUCAGUUUCCUUUAUUUCAAUAUUUAAAACAAAAUUAAAAGGUCUUAUCUGAAAUAAACAAUGCUGUGGACUCGUGUAACAUGAUGAAUUAAGUGGUUGACAAUAACCUAAACUGGUACAGAGAUUACAGAGAUAAAUUACAGUAAAUGCGGGGUUACAUGUUCUGGUACACUCCUAUCAUCGACAGUUUGUUAAAUUGAAAUUUUUUAAAGGAUUGAUAGUAGAUAGCACUGAUGUUGCGGAAAAUAAAUAACAACCCUUUAAAUGAUUAAGUUUCAUGAGCCUUUCAGAGACUUAACUCAGAUGUUUUUCAAUUGAGUGCAGAUGUCUUCUGGUUAGACUUCCAUCUCACAGGAUUCUCUACUUCAGAAGAUAUUUCCCUGUAUUCCCAGUAGAAGAUUAUUGUCAGGAACGCAAGUUUAGGUGUGUAUGUGAGUGUAUGUUGUUAUAGUAAAAUGCAUGAAAUCGGUGAAGCGAGGUAGUACUUCUUUACUUCUGGAAACAAUCAUUGUUCUAAGAUAAUUUUACAAGUAUAUAGUGAGAAGACAAUCAUCAUCUUAAUAAUAAUUUAAAUAAAACUAAACUGUAAAUUAAGAUUAAAUGACCAUUUAUAAUCUACUCCCUACCAGAGACUCUAAGAGGAAGUUAGCAGCAUCCAUCUGCUUUCUGUCGUUCUUGAGUUCACACACUCCAUUGUUAUUGAAACUUAGUAUUAAGAAAUGUCCUCGUUCAUUAUUAAUUCUUAUAACAAUGUUCUCACUGAGAAGGUUUGGUCAGUUUAAGUGGAUGGAGCACAGUCAACUGGUAAUCGCAGCUUCUUCCCUUUUUCGGUUUUAUUAAGUAGAUAACACUUGUUCCUUUUCAUGUUCCUCACACGGUUAACAGAAAAUUUACCAUACAGUGAUUCACGCACCUGUCUAAUUUUUCUCCUACCUUCUUUCUAUCUAUAUAUUUCCAAAUCUUGCUAUUUCUAUCUUUUCAAUCGGUGUUCUGCACACAUGAGUAUUCCACCAACAACAUUUUGUCUUAAAAUACAACGAAGAUAAUAUUAGUCAUCCCUUAUAUAUCUUCAAAAAUCAUAAAAAGUGAACACACAUUUUGCAAUACAGAAAUACUAACAUAUGGCUAAGAUAGAGGUCUCUAUUCAUUUCGAAACAAGUGUCUUCACAGAAAAGAACAGUCAUUUUGCACACACACACACAUAUAUAUAUAUAUGUCUGUGUCCAUUCAAUUGUUCUCAUUCAAAUUAUCAACCAUUAAAGUACACUUACCUCUUUUUAGACAGAUAUGUGGGGUUUCUGCUUCAGCUACAAUCAGCUUUACUUUGCUUGUAAAGUAAAAAGACAUUGCAUGGCGCAUAGUCUAUGGUCGCAAAAAGUUCAGCAUAACAUUUCUUUAAGCUGAUAAGUUUGUAGCGGAUAUUUAAAUGUUACCUUUGACUCUGAAUAACGAAUAUGGUUGGGUUGUCGUGAACUCCGGAGAACGAGCACGCGAAGAUGUCCAGAGGUUGCGAUUGUCGUCUACUCGGGCUGAUCACUCUCGACACCUCAACCCACUCACGCCGACAUUUACGUGUACGCGCACACUUACACUAAAUUGCAAAUAAUACUUAAGUUAACUCUGAGCCCCAGCGCGUAUCCCUAAUAACAAAUACAAGGCAAUUUAGUGUAAAAGAAAUUUAUUAAUGAUCGAGAGUUCUACAAAUCAAUUUACAAGAUAAUACAAUUACAAAUAUGACUGUUCUCUAGGUGUCCCGUUUACUUCCCUGUAUCUAGUCCAGGUAUCAUGAGUCACUACCUCAACACACAGCACACUACACUCAAUCUGACACACACUCGCCAUGUAUCUCUCCACACUAAAGUUUCUUGCAAUUCGGAGGGCCCUCCGAUGUUGCUGACGUCCGAGAAUACAUGUGUCCAAAACCGGAAUAUUUAUAAUAUAUAUCUUGAAGUACAGAUUAGAUCCUAACCUUAAGGAUUAGUCAUAUAUAUAUAUGCAAAAAUGUAUACAUGCAUACUAGCCUUAUAUUGCAAAAUGCAGAUUGACUUUGUAUUGUGCCAAUCUCUCUAUAGAGUAGGAGGGAAGGGUUUUAUCCAGCAGGGGCUGCUUAUACAUUUUCAUACACGGCAGUGAAAACAAUCCUUGACCAAUUCUGAGUCGACCUCUAUGGGUGAUAAACUGUUCCUUCCUCUACUCACUGGGCAAUCCUUUCCCCAGUUUAGACCUGCCUCUUUGAUCGUAGAAGUGAAUUGUGAGCCUUCAGUGGCCGUGCGAGUUGGAGCUUACAUUCUACUAUUUUUCGGCCAUGCAGUGAAUUUCCCUUACUGGAUGGUGUAUCGGCUCCUUGUGUUAGCACGAAGGUGGCUCCCUCUGAGCCAAUGUCAGCCCAACAUCCUGUGCUACCAUGGUUGUUUAAUAUGGUACCAGUGGCUAGUAAUAACUGCAAAGCUAGUUCAUACAAUUUCUUCGCUAAGUGCGGUUAAAGGUUUCUGGAAGAACUGUUCAUUGUGUCUCCCUCUUGGUUUACAUCCAUUCCACAUGUCGGACCUUUCCUCAACAUCACUAGGUACAUAUAUAUCUAUUUACUUUAUAGUUUGAGUAGCAGCCUCAGCUUCCUGUUGUAACAAAGAUGCAGUUGAUGCAAGUUAAAUGCGUACAUUUAUUUAAGAUACUAUUAAACUGAACUUACAGACAAGGAAAUAAAAAAGAGACGGGAAGAUGGUCGCAUAAAGAUCUCACAAAGCUAUAUAGAAAGGAUAAAAUCUUAUUACUUUCGGUUUCCCAAACUUACGGAAAUCACGAUCUGAGCAACAUGAAAGUAAUCUCCUCCCUUAAUAUCUAGAUUAAAGAAGCGGAUUAUGCGUAGCCAUUUGUGUCUGGCUGAAAACAUAAUUCUAUUGAAGACACUUUCAAAUAUUUUGCUAGUCUCCCACUUAUUCACUGAACUUACUGUUCUUCCCCUUGUACUGCUCAGUCUGAAUCUUAUCUUGAGCAACUGUUAUUUAUAUGAAGACACUGGUGAUGAAUAAAGACCUGCAACUCUGUGACAUCAAAAUCACUUCUCUGCUCGUGAGUGUGAGCAAGCUGAGAAGGCAAACUGAGGAGGGCCUGCGACAAUAAAAUAUAUGUUUGCUUGAGGGUCCCGUUGCCUUCACAUCUGACUACCGGCCAGUCAUCUUCACACUGGGCAGUAAGAGAGUAGCUCAAGAUUCCUACAUGUGAAGUUUUCAGUUCAGUUCCAUGUUUAUCCAGCAGA
Long non-coding RNA from Pomacea canaliculata, 3926 nucleotides. RefSeq lists it as uncharacterized. NCBI's taxonomy places the organism in Eukaryota, Metazoa, Mollusca, Gastropoda, Architaenioglossa, Ampullariidae. The record is from RefSeq and is a predicted model, not a curated record. The transcript is spliced from 3 exons.